GGGGAUGUGGUGUAUGGUGCACAGCUGCCUUGCCUGCCAGUGAGAAUACAUGGAAGUAUGCAGCGAGACGGGGUUCGACUCCCCGCGUCCCCG
Mycena latifolia is the source of this 93-nucleotide non-coding RNA. The record is from the annotation of a GenBank genome assembly. Lineage: Eukaryota; Fungi; Basidiomycota; Agaricomycetes; Agaricales; Mycenaceae.